This 4906-nucleotide long non-coding RNA is filed under the name Salvia miltiorrhiza (redroot sage). RNAcentral describes it as "long non-coding RNA (SMIL_LNC005312)". Lineage: Eukaryota; Viridiplantae; Streptophyta; Magnoliopsida; Lamiales; Lamiaceae. The record is from RNAcentral.
AAAUACAUCAGAUACGUUCUUGAAAGAUUGGAUGGCGGAGAGGAUGUUGACAGCGAUGCAGAGAAUGGCGGCGAGAGCAGUGAUGACGCUGAAGAAUCGGCAGGUUAUCAAGAAGGGAUCGUGCCUCGAACGGACCCGGGGGGCGGGGGAUGGCGGGUCGGGGUCGUGCGAGCUCUGCGCCUCCAUUUUCNCUUAAGGGGGGUGUAUUGGUUGUGGAGUUUAAUAGAUUUCUAUGGAAUUUAAAAGUCUGGGUGUAUUCGUUCCAGACUUUUAAAAGUCUGCAGAAAUCUGGGUGUAUUCGUUCAAGACUUUUAAAAGUCCAUAUAAAUUUGGGUGUAUUCGUUUCAGACUUUUUAAAAUCCAUACAAAUCUAGGUGUAUUCGUUAUUCCAUUGACUUCAAAUCCGGAAUGACUUUCAUGGAUUUCAUCCAAAAAAUACACACAACGAAAUCCGGCCAAGAACCACGAGAAUUGAAAUCCAUGGAGUUUGAGCGAGCGCUGAGUUCCAGCGCCCGCGGCCAAGAAGCCAGCGAGCGCUGGAACUCAGCCAUCGUUGAGAGUGUCCAGCCUAUGCUGGAUUUGAGCGGGCGCUGGAUUCCCUGUCUAUUGAUAGAGUUUUGUCUAUUGAGCGGGCGCUGGAUUUCCAUGCAAAGGUCCGAUAACCUAUUGACACAGCAUAGAUAGCAACAAUUAUGAUAAAUGAGAACAGAACUAAUUUCCAAAAGCUUCAAAUGCCAGCUCAAAUGAUGUUUUUUCUGUAUACCUUGCGAAAGUUCUCUGCAAGUCAGUCGGGCAACAAGUUAAAAUGAUGCUUUAGACACUUCCAGAUAAGAAUCUCGUCGUCUUACAUACUAUGUACGCCAUUCAAAUAUAUCAAACUUUAUAUGCAUAUUUUAAUAGCAAUCUCUGUAUGUAAGGGCAUGAUUUCCAUAGCCUACAACGAAUAUAAGGAUUCAACUGCAAACGAGUGUAGCUAAGAGAAAUAGCUCAAUCAACUGACAAAUUAAGUAACUGAAAACACAGCAAAUUCAGCAGCCAACACUAGCUGUCUCUAAAUCCUCUGGAACUCGAAUUAUAGUCAGCUAAUAACAGCUUUACCUGAUCAAUUGCUGAGGUGAGUUCCCUGUAAUUUGGCAGUCUAGUUCCUGAAAUAAAUUUAUGUAUGUAUAGUUGCUUCUAUCAAUAUAGAUUGGUAUAUUGUCCUGAAAUUAGUCAUGUGCGCGAGCUUCGUAUGAUCGAUCAUUCUGUAUAAUGCUGUAGUCACCUUUUUCGAGUUCCGCACGAACUGAACGAUAAUGCUAUAGUUGAUCUUUUGGAAUUGCACCGGCAUUCCAAAAGGUUGCUGGGUUUCCAGCGCUCGCUGGAACUCAGCGGUCGCUGGGUCUUUUCUAGCGGGCGCUGGUUCUCCGCGGGCGCUGGUUUCAUGGAAUUCAAUUCCAAAAUUAUCCCGUAAAGUCUUCGAAAAUCAGUGAAAAUCGGGGUGAAAUUCAACCACGAAUUCUUUGAAAGUCGUCUGGAAUCUAUGUGAAUUCCAUGGAAUUUAAAUUCCAUGGACUUUUUAAAGUCUGUGGAAAUCCACAACGAAUACACCCCCCUAAAAGUUGUCAUUUCUUUUUAUGGUAGUAAUUAAUUACAAGAUAAAAAACAGAAACGAGGCAAGUUAGUUUUUCGAUGCCAAAAAUUAACGAGAGCCAUCUUUAUUUUUAUAAUAGGUCACGCAUUUGAUUGCAAGUAUCAAUAAUUCAGCAUAUUUUAGAAAAAACGAUGAUUUUAAGUUUAUUAUUCUUAUCGAACAAACAUUAUGUAGCAAUGAUUCCUUGUGAUAUCUUGAGACCUCUGAAAAACAAAGAAUUGUUCAGGAAAGCUAAUAUAAAGAACCAACAAACAAGAUUGUUCUUCCAAGAAAAUGGGACACGACCUAGUAAGGUAGCAUAUAGCUAAAUUCAAAUCUACGCAACUGUACAACGGGAUUCAAUCACUAACAACAAUCCUGUUAAGCCUCACUCUGUUUUUCGUAUAAAUUUCAAACAGCAGGGUGAGUGUAGUUCAAUCCAGGUUGACAGUACGACAUUUCUCCAGCCACGUUUGAGCUCUGAAUCAAGCUUCACCGGGGACCAACAAUGACUCAAGUUCUUCUCGACGCUGCUCAAGCUCCUGCAAUUGUUAGUUUGAUGUAACAUUGGUGAUCCUCACAAAGAGCAUGAUACAAACAAAUGGAACAAAAGCCAGAAACUCAGUAAUGGAGGUGGCGUAGGGGACUGCUGGUAGGAACUUUGCAUUUAACUAAUAAGACCGACAGCUCAAAGCAGCAAAAUUUAAUUCCCAUGUAUAUGGUAAGAUUUCGAGCAUCUUUUACCAUAUAAUGAGGGUUUUAAAUCUGAUAAGGGUAAUUCCUACUUCCUUUUUAUUCCAAUUGUCGAUAUUAACUUCAAAGGAACAUCAACAGCACAGCAAGAAAUAAGGAAUAAAUUUCUACAUUACUUAGGACUCGAGAUAUCGAGCAAAUUCUAUUGCUAAACAGGAGCGGAAAAUAAACAAAAGAUAUAUACAAUAAUAGAAGGAAAAAAAAAACAAAUAUACAAGUAAACAACCUUGAUAGUGAACUACUAAAACCUUAUAAGGGUGAUGAUACUCUUUCUUAUUGUUCACUCAAACAUCUCAAUGGGGGCUAUUACGUUCAUAACCUAAUGCAGAAAGACAUUACCUCAAGAUCCUUUAUUGCUUGCUCCCUGGUGAGUUCUUUUUUCUGGCGAGCGCGUUUCACCAUGCCAAUGCAGAACAUUCCCUAAAGAGGCAUUUAAAGUUCAGACUCUAUGUUAGUGCUUAACGUACCUAAAACUCAUCGUAAGACUCUGAAUCAACAGGCCACAUGCUAUGUUGAGAGGAAAAGGUUAUUAUUUCACUGUGUAAACAAAAUUACAAAAGCCAAAGACAUUUACUACUGACCGGAAUAUAAUCAUAAACUUACUGAUAUAAGGUAAACCACACCACAUGCAAGAAGUAGGUAGCUAGCAAUGCUCUGAAGAAGAUAAAGCUCUGAAUGAUCCUUUAAAUACUCAGGGUAAGCUCGGGUCAUCACUGCAACACUGGAGAAAAUAGAUGAGCACAAGCCACAAAUGCAACAACCUAGAAGCAGUUCUUGAAUAUAAGAACAGAACUGGAAAUGGGGCUUGUCAGUGUAAUCUCCAGAUGAAUGCUACAGAUUUCUUGCUAGUCACUAUCCCAUAAGCAAUAACACAGUUGAAAGCUUAGUCUAGUCACCCAACAGGAAAACACAGGGAAACUUUGGGUGAUUUUGGAGAUUCGAUAGAAAUCUAAAUCUGGAAGAUGAAUAUAACCAACAUAACUAGGUAUGAGUAAUCUAAAACUACAUACGAGCAUAACCAAGUAGAAGUUCAACCAAAUGAGUCGCUCAGGAAAUAAAUGUAUAGCAAAAGUUGGACGUACAAGAUCUGCAGCAUUCCCCUGCCUGCCCAAUACUCCAAGACCUGCAACAUGUUCGACAGUUAACAUAACAUAUGAAUUUGAACACAACAAAUAACAGCUGGAGUGUUUUUCAAAUACUAUCAAGAAAAGGGUACUAUGACUGAACUUCCAUUCCCAUCAUAUUAAAUUAUUUUAUGCUUUAAAAGUCAAUAUUAAAGAAAACUGAAUAUGGGGAAUGAAACAGUAUCCAUCAGCUACAGAUACGUGACACAGAUUUUCUUUUUUUAUUUUCCACUAUCUGCAGACAACUAUUUAAACAGUUUUCGAGAAAGCUACAUGGAAAGUUUAGCUAUACAUCCCUUCCGAAGGCCAAGCACAAAACAGGCAACCGAUGAGCAACUGUUAGGGAAACCCGUAAAACGUCCAACUCCCAAGCUCUAUUAAAUCAUAACACUUAGGCUCCAUGAGUACAAAAGUUGUGCUAAAGACUAUCUGAACCUCCAACAUUCGAGAAACAUUUAUGUGCUUAAUUUUUAAACAAGAAUAUGAUAGAGAUGUGUCGGGAGGGCCGGUAUUUUCGGCAUGAGAAGGGAGCAAUCGCAGCAACUUCAGCGGGCUUGUUGGAAUUAAUCAAUUAGCUUUGGAUUAUUUAGUUAAUUAGUUAUUUUUCAAACCAACACAGAAUAUGUGCUUUUCCAAACCUGCAAGCUUUCUUCAAGCAAUGAUGUCAUGGGGGAAGAAUUCUUCGAUUUGGGGCUUGAGCUAAAGAACAUGUUAAACAUCAGAGUUCAAAUUAAAAAACCUCUAGAAUUGAAAACCAUCUCAAGUUACCAAGUUUUCUUAAUUAGAAAGCAGGAGGACAGAAAAUGCAGAUAUUAUAUACUAGGUGAGUAAAUUCUAGAAAGACGCCGCGGAUAACACAGAGCAUUAAUUACCCUAAAACCAAGAAAUUCAAUUCCCAGCAGUGUAAAACUUCGUCAUUUGAAAUCGUUAAUGCAUACACACCAAAUACAGAACUAAAAGCAGCGAGAGAGAGAGAGAGAGAGAGCGAACCUUGGAGAACUUCAUGAUGAAUUCCCACUCGGUCUCGGCGACCACCACAAACACGGCAAUAACCACCGCGUAACACCGGAAUAUCCCAUCGAAUAUCUGCACUAGAUCAAACGAAUUCAAAAUGUGCUGAACCCACUCGUUAUCGAACGAAUUGAAAUUGCAGAGGAAGAGGAGCAAAUACAUCAGAUACGUUCUUGAAAGAUUGGAUGGCGGAGAGGAUGUUGACAGCGAUGCAGAGAAUGGCGGCGAGAGCAGUGAUGACGCUGAAGAAUCGGCAGGUUAUCAAGAAGGGAUCGUGCCUCGAACGGACCCGGGGGGCGGGGGAUGGCGGGUCGGGGUCGUGCGAGCUCUGCGCCUCCAUUUUCAACUGAGAUGGUGAAAUGCAACUGCUGCCGCGUGGCUCAGGACUUGAGUUCCUGCACCUGCU